ACCCUUUAAUGUUUGAUGUUCUAACGUGGACCCGUAAUCCGGGUUGCGGACAGUGUCUGGUGGGUAGUUUGACUGGGGCGGUCUCCUCCUAAAGAGUAACGGAGGAGCACGAAGGUUGGCUAAUCCUGGUCGGACAUCAGGAGGUUAGUGCAAUGGCAUAAGCCAGCUUGACUGCGAGCGUGACGGCGCGAGCAGGUGCGAAAGCAGGUCAUAGUGAUCCGGUGGUUCUGAAUGGAAGGGCCAUCGCUCAACGGAUAAAAGGUACUCCGGGGAUAACAGGCUGAUACCGCCCAAGAGUUCAUAUCGACGGCGGUGUUUGGCACCUCGAUGUCGGCUCAUCACAUCCUGGGGCUGAAGUAGGUCCCAAGGGUAUGGCUGUUCGCCAUUUAAAGUGGUACGCGAGCUGGGUUUAGAACGUCGUGAGACAGUUCGGUCCCUAUCUGCCGUGGGCGCUGGAGAACUGAGGGGGGCUGCUCCUAGUACGAGAGGACCGGAGUGGACGCAUCACUGGUGUUCGGGUUGUCAUGCCAAUGGCACUGCCCGGUAGCUAAAUGCGGAAGAGAUAAGUGCUGAAAGCAUCUAAGCACGAAACUUGCCCCGAGAUGAGUUCUCCCUG
RNAcentral lists this ribosomal RNA (616 nucleotides) under Salmonella enterica. RNAcentral describes it as "partial 23S ribosomal RNA". It matches the Rfam family "Bacterial large subunit ribosomal RNA", at positions 2202 to 2817 of the family's 2925-position model. The record is from RNAcentral. RNAcentral also lists the same sequence under 1 other name. Lineage: Bacteria; Pseudomonadati; Pseudomonadota; Gammaproteobacteria; Enterobacterales; Enterobacteriaceae.